RNAcentral lists this ribosomal RNA (474 nucleotides) under Pomacea sordida. Its description in RNAcentral is "partial 16S ribosomal RNA". It matches the Rfam family "Bacterial large subunit ribosomal RNA", at positions 1848 to 2583 of the family's 2925-position model. The record is from RNAcentral. Lineage: Eukaryota; Metazoa; Mollusca; Gastropoda; Architaenioglossa; Ampullariidae.
AGGGGUCUGGCCUGCCCGGUGACAAAAUUUAACGGCCGCGGUACUCUGACCGUGCAAAGGUAGCAUAAUCAUUUGCCUUAUAAUUGAAGGCUAGUAUGAAUGGUUUAACGAAAGCCAAACUGUCUCUUGUUGAAUGAGAUGAAAUUGAUUUGCAGGUGCAAAGGCCUGUAUCUAACUAAAAGACAAGAAGACCCUAUUGAGCUUUAGAGAUUAAUUAAAAAUAAAGUAUAUUUACAUUAAGAUUUCUGUUUUUUAAUCAUUUUUAGUUGGGGCGACUUCGGAACAAUAAAAGCUUCCUAGUAUUAAAUAUACUUUUAAGCCUUGAUCCAAAAGUUUUUGAUCAACAGAAUUAGUUACCAUAGGGAUAACAGCAUAAUCUUUCUUAAGAGCCCUAAUCGAAAGAAGGGAUUGUGACCUCGAUGUUGGACUAGAGUAUCCCAAAGGUGCAGAAGCUUUUGAAGGUUGGUCUGUUCG